CCAGGGUGUGCCGAGGGUGGGAGGAGAUGCUGGCAGCCCUCCAGGGUGGAAUCUACCCUGUAACCUUGACCUAGGGAGUCAGUAGUCUGUGGUGUCAGAAGGUGGCAUUAAAUCAGAGGGCUCAGGAAUCCAUAGUCAGGAGGAACAGAAAAUCAAAAAAAAAAAAAGGAAAAAAAAAUAGAGGCUCUCUAGAAGGGGCCACUUCAGUUGGUGUUGUUUUCAUGCAGGGAGAAAGCAUUCCGCUGCCAAUAGCUCUGCAUUUAUUCAUCUGCCUCUCAAGUUCUCCCGGCCAGCACUGUGCUAGGUUUUACGGCUACUACAAAGAUGAAUGAAAGGUGUUCCCUCCCUGUUCACACCCACGCUCUUGCCUUGCAGGCCUCGCUGCUGAGCACCCGCAGCCUGAUUCCUGGUUUCCUGGGGGCCUUGGGUACAUCCAGGGAGCUCCUGGGACACCUGGAGCAGGCCGCAAGUUGGAACUGGGAUGUAAUCACCCUGCUCGUCUCCUAUGUGGACAAUGAAUGUCUUCCUCUGAGACUCAACGGUGUCACACAUGGUGGCCCCAGUGUGGCACGGCACUCCCUGUGGCCAUCUUCUUAUGCUGAGGGAAGUCAGCAGUUGAGACACAGAUUAUCAUACAGAACUUCCUGAGCAAGCAACAGGUGCACAACCCCCGGAACUGAAAGAUGAAACCAAAGUGCAAACCGUCCUUAGAAGUCAGUAAGCUGGGGGCCAGACCAGACACGGGACUGGCCAGAGAGGCUCAUGUGUCAUUAGAAGGUGACCUUCAUUAUCCGAGGAUAUUAGCCCUGUCCUUUCUGGAGUUUCAGAUUUAGUGAUAACUCCAGAAGCCACUGCCCACAGUCAGAUGGGUGUCACUUAACGGACUGUUGUUGACCACGAAUGUUGUAAUGAACACACUUGGCUGUAGGAAAAUGUAGAAGUGUCAAUUCAAGAAACAGCUGCACAUAUAAAACAUGGCAGCCUAGCCAUCUCUAAUAUAUCAUAGGCUAAUCAGCACUUUUAAAAACAAAAUAAAAGUAAUUGUUAGGAAUAUGAGUAUGAAUUAUCCCAUAGAAAGCACCUUCCAAACUGCUAGGAAACGCCCCAACAUGGAGAGCUUAGGGAAUCCCCCUGUGCCCGUUGAUGCUAGAGUGUAUAAUGGUGGUCUCUUUGGGUGGUAUACUAGUCUGCUUGGGCUGCUGUAGCAGAAUACCACAGCUUGGGUGGCUUAAAAACAGAAAUUUAUGUUCUCAUGGUUCUGGAGUUCAAGGUGCUAGCAUGGCUGGCUUCUAGUGAGGACACUCUUCCAGGGUUGCAGGGAGCCACCUUCUUGUUGUGUCCUCACAUGGCCUUUUCUCCAUGCUUGUGCACCUCUGAUGCCUUUCCUCUUCUUUGCAAGGACACCAGUACUACUGGAUUGGAGCUCCAUUCUUAUGGCUUCAUUUAACCUCCAUCACCUCCUUACAGACCCUGCCUCCAAAUACAGUCACACCAGGGUCAGGGCUUCAGUAUAUGAAUGUAGGAGGGUACGAUUCGGUCCAUAACAGGAAGCUUUGAAAACUACAGGUUCUAAUUAAAUUUCAGAAGUCAUUAGGUACCAUCUUAAAAGACCAAGUUCUUUUCUCACACUUAGAGGUCCCAGUUCUGGAAGAAAGGACCCUGGUGUUCAGAACAGCACAGAAAGCAGUGAGGCCUGGAGGUGCGCAGGCUGAGGGGAUGCUUAAGUGGGAGCUGAAAUGUGAGCACCCAGGGAUGCCUUCCAACUUCCAGCCCUAUGUCCCACCCUGACAACCCUCUCUAGCCUCACACCCGCUUUCCCCCCAAGAGUCAGACUAGAAGAGGACAGUGUUGGAGGUGUUAUUACACCUGUACAUGUUCCAUUAAUACAUGUGGAAAUAUUUCCUUAACUUCACUCUUCCCUUUCUUCCUUCUCCCACCAUAAUGCCACUAGAAUUUUUGCUUAUAUGAGUUUCAUCUACAAAGGACUCCCAGAAUGUCCACCACAUGUCAAACAUGAUUAUUGGCUGACCUCACUGACAACUUCAGAUUUCUGGAAAUUAAGAGGGAGGAAGGUUGAAUCAAGGGGUAUCUUAGGCAAUAUGUUUUGGGUGAAGAACCAAUAAAAUCAGAACAAAAUAGUUGCCAAAUUUGGAUAUUGGGAUUUAUGGGAGUCUUC
This 2176-nucleotide long non-coding RNA is filed under the name Macaca mulatta (Rhesus monkey). RNAcentral's name for it is "lncRNA (ENSMMUG00000055387.1)". The record is from RNAcentral. Lineage: Eukaryota; Metazoa; Chordata; Mammalia; Primates; Cercopithecidae.